UAAUCCUACGGGGGGCAGCAGUGAGGAAUAUUGGUCAAUGGGCGGGAGCCUGAACCAGCCAAGUCGCGUGAGGGACGACGGUCCUAUGGAUUGUAAACCUCUUUUGUCGGGGAACAAAGGCGCCCACGGGUGGGCGGAUGAGUGUACCCGAAGAAAAAGCAUCGGCUAACUCCGUGCCAGCAGCCGCGGUAAUACGGAGGAUGCGAGCGUUAUCCGGAUUUACUGGGCGUAAAGGGAGCGUAGGCGGACUUUUAAGUGAGAUGAGAAAUACUCGGGCUCA
Molecule: ribosomal RNA, 280 nt
Filed under: uncultured bacterium
Lineage: Bacteria
Description: partial 16S ribosomal RNA
Rfam family: Bacterial small subunit ribosomal RNA
Source: RNAcentral